CGGCAAGGGCGCCCGCCUGAGCCCCCGUUGCGUUACAAUACAAUACUAUUUUUUAAUGUAAAAUCAAACAACGCUCACAUUAUGUGCCCAUGGAAUAUUUGCUUCAGUUAGAACCAGAUCAUUCUCACGACCAUUUUUUGGGGGUCGAAAAUCGUGUUUAAUUUUGAUUCUCUUUAGCUUACUUUCAGUACCAUUCUGUUGUAAAGAUUUCCAAGAGAUUUCACUUUCCCUAAACGGGACGCAGGUCAUUUCUCUGAAGCAAGAAGCUCUGAAAACACUCGGAAAGUGUUUUGCAAUAUUUGCGUUGGAACAGAAUUUGCUAGAAGUCGCUGUAUCCCUGUGUGUCCCGCCUGUACCUUGGACGGCGGUGGAAAAAAAAAAAAGUACAGCGUGUGGACCGUGUGCCUCCUGGUAAAUCAUUAAUCUUCCCCACAAGGAUUGUUUCCGUUGUUAAAAUACCCGCUUUUCAAAGCGAGACACAUUUUAACCCCCAAAAACACCCAAACAAACCGAUUACGGGGGAUUGUAAUCUUACAGCCGCCCGCUUCCUCUCGGGCUGAAACAAACCCUCCGCCCUGACCGAUAAGGAGACCGAUGUGGGCGGAGCGGAGCAGAAGCACAGCCCGGUGAUCGGCGCUCCUCGCCGGCCGCGAUUGUCACCGGCGACGGGCCGUUUCCUGGCGUGAAACACUGUGCACGGCGCGGCGUGAACAACAAGACGGGUUCUGAUGUCGGGACAGCGGAGUCGCGGUGUGCGGGCCGAGUGCGUGUACGGACACAGAGCAAUCUGAAGCAGCAAUCCCUUCAUGGACGCUUGUAACCAACAUAAUGAUAUUGUUCUCCGUUCUAAUGAGUAAACAGAGCUGGCCAGGGCAGCCAAGUCGGCUCACGGGCCGUUCAGAGCACGUCUUGCUAAUCCUACCACUGAGCUCAUCCCCCGCCCUGCCAGAGGCGUCAGAGCUGACAGAAGAGCGCCGCCUACUGGCCCAGCGACAAGCAAGGCCUCCUGGGACCCGGGACCGUGCGUCUCCCGCUGCGCCGCAGGCAGACUGCGCCCUUUUCCUCAAACAUGUCCGGACUGCAAAGCAUCAGGGCCCGGCGUGUUCGGGCAACGCCCCCGACAGCAGGCCCUGCUCCCAGGCGGGAGAGAGCCUGCGGAAUACGGGGGCUUUUAGUGAAACUGCAGGAAGGCCAAUUCCCAGAAGUGAGUCACGAUUCCCAAAGAUUCCGCCUUCUUUAAAGGAAGUUUCUGGAAUUCUGAAGUGUUAUGGGGCUUCCUCAUUGCAAGGAAGCUGGAUAUCCAGGAGGAAUAUCGCCAAUAUCUUUCAAGGACUGUAAAGGCACAGAGUCACCUUGGGUGUAGUUUGUUUUUGCUGAUUUUUUUGUUAGGUAGACUGUUGCACGUCAUCUCACAACUGCUUUUACUGCCUCAGACAGUGUUAAAUGUACUUAUUUUGUGAAGAAUAAUCAUGGACUGUAGAUUCAUGUUUUAACUAUAAUUGCUACCCUCGUGAAAAAAUAAAUUAAUUAACUGAAAUUAUUUGCUUGUGGAUAACGGCAGGCAUCAUUUCCUUUAAUUUGUUAGAAUCCAGUGAGAUCAGUACAUCCAAGCCUAUGUUACUAUACUGCUACCUCAGAUGCCUUUAUUCUUUCCUGUUACUCUCAAAACACCGUUAUUCAGAGAGAAAAGCACAUGGCCUUCCCCGGAGUUAAUGGAGUGAGUAGAGAGAGGCUGCUGCUCUUCAUGAAUGAUUCCUGCUCUGAGAACAAUAAAGAACCCACAGUCCCCCCCCUGCCCUGGCCUCUGGGGAGAUCCCAGUCUGGUCAAGUAAAGUUCGCAACUCUUCAGAUUUUAGUGGUUGUGCAUAUCUCAUCCCCUGCCGCGCACCGAGGCAACAGAGUUCCUUGCUCUCUUGGCCUGUUUUGGGAAGCGAGUAUAAAGGAAUUCAGGAGGCCCCGUCGGUCUCUGUCUCUCCCUCGGCGUGUCCUGGCCUGACGACAGCUGGGGGAACAAAGCCGCUCGUCCAGUUUAUGGCCGUGGCCACAGGACCACUCAGAGUAAAGAGAGCGGGCUCCUGGACCAAGCCUUCCGGAGACCCCAGCGCUUUGGCCUCGAGUCUGCCUGCUGCUCUGUGCUGUUCUGCGUGGAGCCUGAAGAGCCUGCAGAGGGCCACCGCAGAGGACCAACCAGAGGUCAAUUCCCCAGUUGUGGAUCAACUGACUAUUUGGUCCAAAACAUUUUUAAUGGGGAUCACCUGCAGGGCGACAGCUGCCAUAAAGAGUUUGGCAUCCGAACGGAAAAGCGUUAAUUCCAUGGAUUUCAACCCCCCCGUCAGCCACGCGGGGCGGCGCUGGUGACGUCGCUCCCUGCCUUUCCAGCGCCCUCGCCCUCCCAGAGCCCCGCCGGCCUCGCCCCCGCUCCCAGGACGGGCUCGCCCCGCCUUCACGCCUCUGCUGUCCGCGGCGCUCCUGACAAUCCCGGAGUGCUCUCCAGCCGUCCGGACGUGCGCGUCGAGCCGAGACUCUUCUCACCCCUCACUCCCAUGAAAGACACCGGUCCAGGCCCCCAGAGCACCCCCCCUCCUGCUGCUGCCAGCCGGAUUCUAAUCAAUUAACCAAUCAGGACAGCUCCCUCAUUGCCGCGCCCUCGACCCCCGGAGAUAUUCGAGGCCUCUCAGCUCCCAGAUUAUUGCUCGGUAUUGGAACGCCUGACCUCACCUGUGCUGCUCUUCCCCCACCUUAACCGUCCCCUUGGCCUCGAAGCCGGAGCUCGUCCUCGACCGUGAUGUCGUCUGACGCUUUGCCGACAUCUUUCCCUUCCUCCUCUCCUGAUCUCCCUCCAGACCUCCGCGCAGGGUCCGCCUCCUGUUGCACAGCGUGUCGGAGCAGCCCCGGGACAGGCAGAGGGAGUUGUCUCGGGGGUGUGCUGGCUUGUGGUGCUACAGGCCGGAUUGCAGUUGGCCAUCUGUGAUGUAGAGGACGGAAUACAUUUGCCCAUUAUAUCUUUUUCAAAUAAACUAAAAGGUGUUUCAUUCUUAGUGGUCCUAAACAGCCGUUUGCAUCAAAACACUAUUGCAAAUGUUAGAACUACAAAUUAUGCAAAAUAAUUUUAAUCUGUGCGCCUUUGCACAUAUGUUCAGGAACUCAGCGAAAGCACUGCUGAGUGAUGAGCUCUUCUCAAACACGGAUUCAUCUUUAAACUGUCAAACAGUCUCGGUAUCAGCAUAUUCCGGGCCCUCAGGAUCUCGCACUGGAAUUCGCACUGGGUCCUUGCUUGUUUGUGAAAAAAGGUUGUUGUUUUUUUCUGCACAGUAGUCUUCGAACGAGGCUUAAUUAACUCUGCAUUCUAAAGGAAAAACACCAUGUUUUACUUCAGUAGCUACGCUGUAAUGAGAUCCGGUAAACAGAAAACAAUGAGACAAUUAGAAGGCAAAUUCUGCAAGAGGUUCUUGUUAUAAUACAUAAGACAACAGAUCAGAAGCUAACACAAAGUCCCAGGGUGGUGCAGCAGUUCUGCUUGCAUUCUGGUGUUGAUAUCCUUAACACUAGCAUUUCACUGACGAAUAAGUGGUGUCACAGACCUUCAGAAUGACUGGGAUAUUGUCCUAGAACUCAAUGGGAAUGAUAAUACCCUAACACACACUUAACCCCACCCCCCUUCGUCCACACAAGGCAAACCUUUCAAGCUAAUUAAUAUUUCAUUGCUCGCUCCCCGGUCUGUGAGCGAAGCUCCCCAGAGCAGCUGUGCGGUGAUCGGCGAGGAUAUAUAAUGUCACCCCGAGGGCCCGGCCGUCUCCCCGAAGUGUCUGAGGCGGAGCUCCGAUAGGAGGGACACGUGUUCGUGCGGCAAUGAAGUCAUCGCGCCUGAAAUUAGUUGUGUGCCUCCACAAUUAUUUAAUGUGCACAUAUACACACACACACACACCUGUGCGCACUAUAUACGACAGAACAUUUCCAGCAGAAGUCGUUGAAAUUUCUGAAUAGUACGGAAGGGAGCGGGACAAGUCCAGACUUCUGAAGGUCCUGAACCUAUUUUUUUUUUUUCCAGUGCUGGUUAUCUAACCGCUCCGACGAGAAAGCGGACCAAAAUAAAAUACUGUAAAAGGAAACCCGUGGACCUGUGAACGCUUGAGUGUCUAUCUUUUGCGCCUGAGAAAAGUCAGCAGUGGUUAAGGAAGGCGCGUGUUUGCUUCGCUGUGGAAGUGUCGCUGCAGUGCUCUGUUAUAAUAAAGACGCACUGAAGUGUGUUUUCUCAUCAGCUCGUUGCUUUCGUGUUUUUUAACCACGGUUUCUUUUUGAUUCAUCACGCACACUUCCCACGGUGUUCUUCCGAUAUGUCAUGUCCACGGUGGAAGACGCAGCUUUUAGCGUGCUGUCGUUCUGUACUGGCCUUAAAGUGUCGGCAAGGUCUACUCGUACUAGUUAGUGUGUGUUUUCGUUUCCACGGCUCUGUUUUCUUUAGUGGUGUUUUUUAUGUUCACGUCGGUUUGUUUAGACAUUCCUGCCCGGCCCAGGCCCUUCCUCCUCUGCGCUUGCUUCUCGAGUGAGGUGGAGGGAGAG
Long non-coding RNA from Lepisosteus oculatus (spotted gar), 4560 nucleotides. The record is from Ensembl. Lineage: Eukaryota; Metazoa; Chordata; Actinopteri; Semionotiformes; Lepisosteidae.